This 505-nucleotide ribosomal RNA is filed under the name uncultured bacterium. Its description in RNAcentral is "partial 16S ribosomal RNA". It matches the Rfam family "Bacterial small subunit ribosomal RNA", at positions 899 to 1397 of the family's 1533-position model. The record is from RNAcentral.
ACUCAAAGGAAUAGACGGGGGCCCGCACAAGCAGCGGAGCAUGUGGCUUAAUUCGACGCAACGCGAAGAACCUUACCAAGGCUUGACAUACGCCGGAAAACCCUGGAGACAGGGUCCCCCUUGUGGUCGGUGUACAGGUGGUGCAUGGCUGUCGUCAGCUCGUGUCGUGAGAUGUUGGGUUAAGUCCCGCAACGAGCGCAACCCUUGUUCUGUGUUGCCAGCACGCCCUUCGGGGUGGUGGGGACUCACAGGAGACUGCCGGGGUCAACUCGGAGGAAGGUGGGGACGACGUCAAGUCAUCAUGCCCCUUAUGUCUUGGGCUGCACACGUGCUACAAUGGCAGGUACAAAGAGCUGCGAUACCGUGAGGUUGAGCGAAUCUCAAAAAGCCUGUCUCAGUUCGGAUUGGGGUCUGCAACUCGACCCCAUGAAGUCGGAGUUGCUAGUAAUCGCAGAUCAGCAUUGCUGCGGUGAAUACGUUCCCGGGCCUUGCACACACCGCCCGU